This 235-nucleotide unclassified non-coding RNA is filed under the name Hevea brasiliensis (rubber tree). Lineage: Eukaryota; Viridiplantae; Streptophyta; Magnoliopsida; Malpighiales; Euphorbiaceae. The record is from RNAcentral.
UGUUGCUGUUCUUAUUGCUACUGUUACUUUUGCUGCCAUAUUUAAUCUACCAGGUCAAUAUACCGACAACCCUAAGGAGAUUCCUCCGGGAUACUCAAUAGGAGAAGGAAGGAUUGCUCCUCAACCCCCUUUUGUGAUUUUCUUCAUAUUCGACUCUCUUGCACUCUUCAUAUCAUUAGCUGUCGUGGUUGUUCAAACAUCAAUCGUGGUUGUUGAAAGACGAGCCAAAAAGCAA